Molecule: long non-coding RNA, 488 nt
Filed under: Salmo salar (Atlantic salmon)
Lineage: Eukaryota; Metazoa; Chordata; Actinopteri; Salmoniformes; Salmonidae
Description: lncRNA (ENSSSAG00000096625.1)
Source: RNAcentral
GGCUGACGAGUGGAAGGAGAGAUGCCCUGAGGCUGACGAGGGGAAGGAGAGAUUCCCUGAGGCUGACGAGGGGCAGGAGACUUUAUCUUCCGAAGGAUAGAUGAGCUGAGGCUGACGAGGGGAAGGAGAGAUGCCCUGAGGCUGAUGAGGGGAAAAGAGAAGUGUCCUGAGCCUGACAAGGGGAAGGAGAGAUGCCCUGAGACUGACGAGGGGAAGGAGACUUCAUCUUCAGAAUGAGAGAUGCCCUGAAGCUGACGAGGGGAAGGAGAGAUGCCCUGAGGCUGACGAGGGGAAGGAGACUUCAUCUUCAGAAGGAGAGAUGCCCUGAGGCCGACGAGGGGAAGGAGACUUCAUCUUCAGAAGGCGAGAUGCCCUGAGGCUGACGAGGGGAAGGAGACUUCAUCUUCAGAAGGCGAGAUGCCCUGAGGCUGACGAGGGGAAGGAGAGAUGCCCUGAGGCUGACGAGGGGAAGGAGACUUCAUCUGCAG